UACGUAGGUGGCAAGCGUUGUCCGGAAUUAUUGGGCGUAAAGCGCGCGCAGGUGGUUUCUUAAGUCUGAUGUGAAAGCCCACGGCUCAACCGUGGAGGGUCAUUGGAAACUGGGGAACUUGAGUGCAGAAGAGGAAAGUGGAAUUCCACGUGUAGCGGUGAAAUGCGUAGAGAUGUGGAGGAACACCAGUGGCGAAGGCGACUUUCUGGACCAGUACCGACGUUCAGGCACGAAAGCGUGGGGAGCAAACAGG
Molecule: ribosomal RNA, 253 nt
Filed under: uncultured bacterium
Lineage: Bacteria
Description: partial 16S ribosomal RNA
Rfam family: Bacterial small subunit ribosomal RNA
Source: RNAcentral